GAUCAUGGCUCAGGACGAACGCUGGCGGCGUGCCUAAUACAUGCAAGUCGGAACGAGAGCGACCGGUGCUUGCACUGGUCAAUCUAGUGGCGAACGGGUGAGUAACACGUGGGUAACCUGCCCAUCCAGGAGGGGGAUAACCAUUCGGGAAAACGGAUGCUAAAACCCGCAUAGGUUCUUCGAACCGCAUGGGUUUGAAGAGGAAAAGAGGCGCAAGCUUCUGCUGAUGGAUGGACCCGCGGUG
RNAcentral lists this ribosomal RNA (244 nucleotides) under uncultured bacterium. RNAcentral describes it as "partial 16S ribosomal RNA". It matches the Rfam family "Bacterial small subunit ribosomal RNA", at positions 15 to 238 of the family's 1533-position model. The record is from RNAcentral.